RNAcentral lists this long non-coding RNA (381 nucleotides) under Piliocolobus tephrosceles (Ugandan red Colobus). Its description in RNAcentral is "lncRNA (ENSPTEG00000026522.1)". The record is from RNAcentral. Lineage: Eukaryota; Metazoa; Chordata; Mammalia; Primates; Cercopithecidae.
GAAGACUUCUGAGAAACUAUAAAGAUUUUAAGAGAAAAAUGUGCUCUUUGUCUUUGCUAUGUAACUCCGUUUUGAACACAGGACUGCUGCCUCCCUUCCUUCCAGGAACCGGCAGCCUAUGUACUGAUCUGAUGCAGAGCUAAUCUUUUCUGAGACAUCCUCUCCUCCAGGGUCGAGCCUCCCAUAAUUUUGCUUCCCUGGGACAUAGUCUUCGCUGUGUCAACCGAAAGUCUGAAAAUGGCCCAUCAAAUUUUCCUGUGGGAGGUCUGCCCUACGCUGCAUACACUGAGGUCGAGCACAGCCACCUGCAUCCCACACAACAGCUUUAAAGGAGAAAACCCCGUGGAGAAAGAACUGAAACUGAGAGGAGUUCCAAACUAA